GAUGAAGAACGCAGCGAAAUGCGAUAAGUAAUGUGAAUUGCAGAAUUCAGUGAAUCAUCGAAUCUUUGAACGCACAUUGCGCCCAUUAGUAUUCUAGUGGGCAUGCCUGUUCGAGCGUCAUUAAGUCCACUUAAGCCCUGCUUAGUGUUGGGAGACUGCUCCAGCGGUGCUACCCUGUAGCUACCCUGCAGCUCCUUAAAGACAGCGGCGGAGUUGUGGUAUCCUCUGAGCUUAGUAACUUGUUCUAGCUUUCGAGUACACCACUUCCCCUGCCGUAAAACCCUUAAUUUUUAAUGGUUGACCUCGGAUCAGGUAGGAAUACCCGCUGAACUUAAGCAUAUCAAUAAGCGGAGGA
RNAcentral lists this unclassified non-coding RNA (355 nucleotides) under soil metagenome. RNAcentral's name for it is "partial contains 5.8S ribosomal RNA, internal transcribed spacer 2, and large subunit ribosomal RNA". The stretch from base 1 to 120 matches the Rfam family "5.8S ribosomal RNA", at positions 35 to 154 of the family's 154-position model. The record is from RNAcentral.